Molecule: long non-coding RNA, 782 nt
Filed under: Homo sapiens (human)
Lineage: Eukaryota; Metazoa; Chordata; Mammalia; Primates; Hominidae
Description: non-protein coding lnc-TNFAIP6-6:2
Source: RNAcentral
UUUUGCAGCACUUAAACUCUCAUAGACAUAUCAGUAAAACUGUAGGCCCUCAGACAAAGCAAAGGGUUUCCCCUACCCUCUUUUUCUUUGCUAUCCUCUAUGCUCUGCCUCUUGCUUUAGUUUCAUACAACAUUCAGCUUAUCAUUAAGGAAUAAGGUUUUUGGCUCUUAUAUCACUAUCAUGGCGAAUCAGUGGAAAAUGAGAAACAUAGUAACACAUCAUGAUAAAUCCUCAACCUCGGUAUCUCCCCUCAGUGUCAUUCUUGGAAACGUGGGAGAUUUAGGAAAUGACAUUGAAGAGGAAGAAUUCUGUUGAAAUAGUGAUUCUCAACGUGGGGUCCUUGGACAGCAAGGAUGAGGAAAAAACACAGUCAUCCAAGGAGCCAGAAGUUAUAUGCUGACAAAAUGCCACCGACUACUUUAGUGGAAGCUGUUGUUGGGAUAGGGAAUCUGCACCCUCUAGAGAAGCAGGGACUUCAGCUGCUGAGGAAGGGCUGUCAGAGUUAUCCAUGUUAUUUUUUUUCAUUUUUGUGAGUACGGUGCCUCCUAAACAAUCACAUGAGGAUUUGAGACUGUUAGAACUCGGUGUUGUUAUCCACACAAAUGGAAACAUUCAUUAUUUUUAAAACAUGUUUGUUUGUAAAUAUCAGAUGAAGUAAAAAAUUGACAUUAACUGUAUUAUAGAAAUGGGAAAGUAUAUCCUUUUGUAAUAUAAGAUGUAUUAGAAGCAAAGAAGGGAAAUGGGCUUCAAACAAAAAUAAAUAAAUGUAAAGAUCAGUUUAA